This 437-nucleotide ribosomal RNA is filed under the name uncultured bacterium. Its description in RNAcentral is "partial 16S ribosomal RNA". It matches the Rfam family "Bacterial small subunit ribosomal RNA", at positions 29 to 507 of the family's 1533-position model. The record is from RNAcentral.
AGCGAACGCUGGCGGCAGGCUUAACACAUGCAAGUCGAGCGGGCAUCCUUGUGGUGUCAGCGGCAGACGGGUGAGUAACGCGUGGGAACGUGCCCUUCGGUUCGGAAUAACUCAGGGAAACUUGAGCUAAUACCGGAUACGUGCGAGAGCAGAAAGGUUUAUCUGCCGAAGGAUCGGCCCGCGUCUGAUUAGCUAGUUGGUGAGGUUACGGCUCACCAAGGCGACGAUCAGUAGCUGGUCUGAGAGGAUGAUCAGCCACACUGGGACUGAGACACGGCCCAGACUCCUACGGGAGGCAGCAGUGGGGAAUAUUGGACAAUGGGGGCAACCCUGAUCCAGCAAUGCCGCGUGAGUGAUGACGGCCUUAGGGUUGUAAAGCUCUUUUAUCCGGGACGAUAAUGACGGUACCGGAGGAAUAAGCCCCGGCUAACUUCGUG